This 6857-nucleotide long non-coding RNA is filed under the name Triticum aestivum (bread wheat). Its description in RNAcentral is "long non-coding RNA (TAES_LNC015836)". The record is from RNAcentral. Lineage: Eukaryota; Viridiplantae; Streptophyta; Magnoliopsida; Poales; Poaceae.
UGGUCCUGCUAGCUAAUUUACCUCCCUUAGAGAUGACACUGUGCUAACAGCAUUGUUGGUACACAACAGCUUUUCAUGAACAUGACACAUUCUUGAAAACUAUAUCAUGCCCCGGGGCCCUCUGCUUCAAAUAAACAUAAAAAAUCAUGCUUAGUGUGACAGAAAACAGUAUGGGAAGAAGAGAAAAGGCAUGCUACUCAUGAUUUAUUUCAUAACAAAAUUGAUAAGGUGAUGGAAAUGGCUAAGACAGACUGAACGACGAGUUCGCUUCAAACAGACAGCAAAAAACUGUAGGUUCUGCAAAUCAUGUUUACAAAAAAUGUACUCCUGAGCAUCCAAUUUUUAAAAUGUCUCUGCAAAUAUUCCCUCAAGGAACCAGUAUCUUGUGAGCCCACACUUCUACUCACCAGACUAUUUAGCUGCUAAACCAGAAAAAAUGUUUUGACUAGUACCUCGUUCUGUUCUAUUAAACUUAAAGCAUCUGCCAAAUCUGCAGACCUGCAUUUGUGGUACAUCAGUACUCCCUCUGUAAAUAUAAGAUAUUUUAGAUCACUACUAGUGAUCUAAAAGAUCUUUCCAGAUCACUACUAAAAGAUCUUUUUAGAUCACUACUAGUGAUCAUUUCUUAAAUGCAAAGUUCCUAGUCACUGCCCUAUUAAGCUGCUAAUCAAAAUUUACAACAUUUGACAACCAAGUAGUUUUCAUCAGUAAUGCACUGUGGAAGAAUAAUUACUUCCUUGCGACUACCGGACUCUAUCCAAAUUAUCUGAACAGGGACCAAAUUUCUACAAAUGUACUAUAUCCCAAUUAUCACCUAAGAUUUUUACAUCUCUAUUAAUGUUAGUAUGUUGCGAACUAACCUCUUAGCCCACAAUGGACCUUGAGGGUUGACCUUACCUAUACACAGCGCGACACCUGCGGCGAGUUGCCCCUUCUGUGCGUGCAAAACAGAAAAAGAUCACGAUAUACUUACGAAUCGACAUACUUCCUGAUUGAUUAGUUGCAUUAGGAACUUCAUCGUUGGCGGCCGCCUCUGCUUCCUAUCCCUCUUUCUCACUCCUCUGCUUCCAAAUGCCGUCCAUGCUGGGGCCUUUGGGGGAGAAGAGCCAGAGCUCUGCAUCCAAUUUGUGCCUGCAGCCAUUCGACGGAAAAGCGGAUUUCCUGAGCCACGGACCAAAUUGAUUUUCGUCUUCCGAUCCGCGGCUUAGCUUGCUGCAUUCCACCUGCAUUGUAGAUCAAGGUUUUCAGAUUUCCAUUUCAUAUUAAGCUACCAAACAACUACAUCAAUUCUAUCUCUUGAAACUCUCAUGCUUACCACUCGUUGACUCAUCAUUCUCGUUCCAGUCACCAGAGGAGUCUGAUUUCCCUCAUUAUCUUUCUUGCUUCUAGAGUUUUGGUCCAGUGGUCCUGCUAGCUAAUUUACCUCCCUUAGAGAUGACACUGUGCUAACAGCAUUGUUGGUACACAACAGCUUUUCAUGAACAUGACACAUUCUUGAAAAUUAUAUCAUGCCCCGGGGCCCUCUGCUUCAAAUAAACAUAAAAAAUCAUGCUUAGUGUGACAGAAAACAGUAUGGGAAGAAGAGAAAAGGCAUGCUACUCAUGAUUUAUUUCAUAACAAAAUUGAUAAGGUGAUGGAAAUGGCUAAGACAGACUGAACGACGAGUUCGCUUCAAACAGACAGCAAAAAACUGUAGGUUCUGCAAAUCAUGUUUACAAAAAAUGUACUCCUAAGCAUCCAAUUUUUAAAAUGUCUCUGCAAAUAUUCCCUCAAGGAACCAGUAUCUUGUGAGCCCAUACUUCUACUCGCCAGACUAUUUAGCUGCUAAACCAGAAAAAAUGUUUUGACUAGUACCUCAUUCUGUUCUAUUAAACUUAAAACAUCUGCCAAAUCUGCAGACCUGCAUUUGUGGUACAUCAGUACUCCCUCUGUAAAUAUAAGAUCUUUUAGAUCACUACUAGUGAUCUAAAAGAUCUUUCCAGAUCACUACUAAAAGAUCUUUUUAGAUCACUACUAGUGAUCAUUUCUUAAAUGCAAAGUUCCUAGUCACUGCCCUAUUAAGCUGCUAAUCAAAAUUUACAACAUUUGACAACCAAGUAGUUUUCAUCAGUAAUGCACUGUGGAAGAACAAUCUUAAUUACUUCCUUGCGACUACCGGACUCUAUCCAAAUUAUCUGAACAGGGACCAAAUUUCUACAAAUGUACUAUAUCCCAAUUAUCACCUAAGAUUUUUACAUCUCUAUUAAUGUUAGUAUGUUGCGAACUAACCUCUUAGCCCACAAUGGACCUUGAGGGUUGACCUUACCUAUAUAGCCGCGACACCUGCGGCGAGUUGCCCCUUCUGUGCGUGCAAAACAGAAAAAGAUCACGAUAUACUUACGAAUCGACAUACCUCCUGAUUGAUUAGUUGCAUUAGGAACUUCAUCGUUGGCGGCCGCCUCUGCUUCCUAUCCCUCUUUCUCACUCCUCUGCUUCCAAAUGCCGUCCAUGCUGGGGCCUUUGGGGGAGAAGAGCCAGAGCUCUGCAUCCAAUUUGUGCCUGCAGCCAUUCGACGGAAAAGCGGAUUUCCUGAGCCACGGACCAAAUUGAUUUUCGUCUUCCGAUCCGCGGCUUAGCUUGCUGCAUUCCACCUGCAUUGUAGAUCAAGGUUUUCAGAUUUCCAUUUCAUAUUAAGCUACCAAACAACUACAUCAAUUCUAUCUCUUGAAACUCUCAUGCUUACCACUCGUUGACUCAUCAUUCUCGUUCCAGUCACCAGAGGAGUCUGAUUUCCCUCAUUAUCUUUCUUGCUUCUAGAGUUUUGGUCCAGUGGUCCUGCUAGCUAAUUUACCUCCCUUAGAGAUGACACUGUGCUAACAGCAUUGUUGGUACACAACAGCUUUUCAUGAACAUGACACAUUCUUGAAAACUAUAUCAUGCCCCGGGGCCCUCUGCUUCAAAUAAACAUAAAAAAUCAUGCUUAGUGUGACAGAAAACAGUAUGGGAAGAAGAGAAAAGGCAUGCUACUCAUGAUUUAUUUCAUAACAAAAUUGAUAAGGUGAUGGAAAUGGCUAAGACAGACUGAACGAUGAGUUCGCUUCAAACAGACAGCAAAAAACUGUAGGUUCUGCAAAUCAUGUUUACAAAAAGUGUACUCCUAAGCAUCCAAUUUUUAAAAUGUCUCUGCAAAUAUUCCCUCAAGGAACCAGUAUCUUGUGAGCCCACACUUCUACUCACCAGACUAUUUAGCUGCUAAACCAGAAAAAAUGUUUUGACUAGUACCUCGUUCUGUUCUAUUAAACUUAAAACAUCUGCCAAAUCUGCAGACCUGCAUUUGUGGUACAUCAGUACUCCCUCUGUAAAUAUAAGAUAUUUUAGAUCACUACUAGUGAUCUAAAAGAUCUUUCCAGAUCACUACUAAAAGAUCUUUUUAGAUCACUACUAGUGAUCAUUUCUUAAAUGCAAAGUUCCUAGUCACUGCCCUAUUAAGCUGCUAAUCAAAAUUUACAACAUUUGACAACCAAGUAGUUUUCAUCAGUAAUGCACUGUGGAAGAACAAUCUUAAUUACUUCCUUGCGACUACCGGACUCUAUCCAAAUUAUCUGAACAGGGACCAAAUUUCUACAAAUGUACUAUAUCCCAAUUAUCACCUAAGAUUUUUACAUCUCUAUUAAUGUUAGUAUGUUGCGAACUAACCUCUUAGCCCACAAUGGACCUUGAGGGUUGACCUUACCUAUACACAGCCGCGACACCUGCGGCGAGUUGCCCCUUCUAUGCGUGCAAAACAGAAAAAGAUCACGAUAUACUUACGAAUCGACAUACCUCCUGAUUGAUUAGUUGCAUUAGGAACUUCAUCGUUGGCGGCCGCCUCUGCUUCCUAUCCCUCUUUCUCACUCCUCUGCUUCCAAAUGCCGUCCAUGCUGGGGCCUCUGGGGGAGAAGAGCCAGAGCUCUGCAUCCAAUUUGUGCCUGCAGCCAUUCGACGGAAAAGCGGAUUUCCUGAGCCACGGACCAAAUUGAUUUUCGUCUUCCGAUCCGCGGCUUAGCUUGCUGCAUUCCACCUGCAUUGUAGAUCAAGGUUUUCAGAUUUCCAUUUCAUAUUAAGCUACCAAACAACUACAUCAAUUCUAUCUCUUGAAACUCUCAUGCUUACCACUCGUUGACUCAUCAUUCUCGUUCCAGUCACCAGAGGAGUCUGAUUUCCCUCAUUAUCUUUCUUGCUUCUAGAGUUUUGGUCCAGUGGUCCUGCUAGCUAAUUUACCUCCCUUAGAGAUGACACUGUGCUAACAGCAUUGUUGGUACACAACAGCUUUUCAUGAACAUGACACAUUCUUGAAAACUAUAUCAUGCCCCGGGGCCCUCUGCUUCAAAUAAACAUAAAAAAUCAUGCUUAGUGUGACAGAAAACAGUAUGGGAAGAAGAGAAAAGGCAUGCUACUCAUGAUUUAUUUCAUAACAAAAUUGAUAAGGUGAUGGAAAUGGCUAAGACAGACUGAACGACGAGUUCGCUUCAAACAGACAGCAAAAAACUGUAGGUUCUGCAAAUCAUGUUUACAAAAAAUGUACUCCUAAGCAUCCAAUUUUUAAAAUGUCUCUGCAAAUAUUCCCUCAAGGAACCAGUAUCUUGUGAGCCCACACUUCUACUCACCAGACUAUUUAGCUGCUAAACCAGAAAAAAUGUUUUGACUAGUACCUCGUUCUGUUCUAUUAAACUUAAAGCAUCUGCCAAAUCUGCAGACCUGCAUUUGUGGUACAUCAGUACUCCCUCUGUAAAUAUAAGAUAUUUUAGAUCACUACUAGUGGUCUAAAAGAUCUUUCCAGAUCACUACUAAAAGAUCUUUUUAGAUCACUACUAGUGAUCAUUUCUUAAAUGCAAAGUUCCUAGUCACUGCCCUAUUAAGCUGCUAAUCAAAAUUUACAACAUUUGACAACCAAGUAGUUUUCAUCAGUAAUGCACUGUGGAAGAACAAUCUUAAUUACUUCCUUGCGACUACCGGACUCUAUCCAAAUUAUCUGAACAGGGACCAAAUUUCUACAAAUGUACUAUAUCCCAAUUAUCACCUAAGAUUUUUACAUCUCUAUUAAUGUUAGUAUGUUGCGAACUAACCUCUUAGCCCACAAUGGACCUUGAGGGUUGACCUUACCUAUACACAGCCGCGACACCUGCGGCGAGUUGCCCCUUCUGUGCGUGCAAAACAGAAAAAGAUCACGAUAUACUUACGAAUCGACAUACCUCCUGAUUGAUUAGUUGCAUUAGGAACUUCAUCGUUGGCGGCCGCCUCUGCUUCCUAUCCCUCUUUCUCACUCCUCUGCUUCCAAAUGCCGUCCAUGCUGGGGCCUUUGGGGGAGAAGAGCCAGAGCUCUGCAUCCAAUUUGUGCCUGCAGCCAUUCGACGGAAAAGCGGAUUUCCUGAGCCACGGACCAAAUUGAUUUUCGUCUUCCGAUCCGCGGCUUAGCUUGCUGCAUUCCACCUGCAUUGUAGAUCAAGGUUUUCAGAUUUCCAUUUCAUAUUAAGCUACCAAACAACUACAUCAAUUCUAUCUCUUGAAACUCUCAUGCUUACCACUCGUUGACUCAUCAUUCUCGUUCCAGUCACCAGAGGAGUCUGAUUUCCCUCAUUAUCUUUCUUGCUUCUAGAGUUUUGGUCCAGUGGUCCUGCUAGCUAAUUUACCUCCCUUAGAGAUGACACUGUGCUAACAGCAUUGUUGGUACACAACAGCUUUUCAUGAACAUGACACAUUCUUGAAAAUUAUAUCAUGCCCCGGGGCCCUCUGCUUCAAAUAAACAUAAAAAAUCAUGCUUAGUGUGACAGAAAACAGUAUGGGAAGAAGAGAAAAGGCAUGCUACUCAUGAUUUAUUUGAUAACAAAAUUGAUAAGGUGAUGGAAAUGGCUAAGACAGACUGAACGACGAGUUCGCUUCAAACAGACAGCAAAAAACUGUAGGUUCUGCAAAUCAUGUUUACAAAAAAUGUACUCCUAAGCAUCCAAUUUUUAAAAUGUCUCUGCAAAUAUUCCCUCAAGGAACCAGUAUCUUGUGAGCCCACACUUCUACUCACCAGACUAUUUAGCUGCUAAACCAGAAAAAAUGUUUUGACUAGUACCUCGUUCUGUUCUAUUAAACUUAAAACAUCUGCCAAAUCUGCAGACCUGCAUUUGUGGUACAUCAGUACUCCCUCUGUAAAUAUAAGAUCUUUUAGAUCACUACUAGUGAUCUAAAAGAUCUUUCCAGAUCACUACUAAAAGAUCUUUUUAGAUCACUACUAGUGAUCAUUUCUUAAAUGCAAAGUUCCUAGUCACUGCCCUAUUAAGUUGAUAAUCAAAAUUUACAACAUUUGACAACCAAGUAGUUUUCAUCAGUAAUGCACUGUGGAAGAACAAUCUUAAUUACUUCCUUGCGACUACCGGACUCUAUCCAAAUUAUCUGAACAGGGACCAAAUUUCUACAAAUGUACUAUAUCCCAAUUAUCACCUAAGAUUUUUACAUCUCUAUUAAUGUUAGUAUGUUGCGAACUAACCUCUUAGCCCACAAUGGACCUUGAGGGUUGACCUUACCUAUACACAGCCGCGACACCUGCGGCGAGUUGCCCCUUCUGUGCAUGCAAAACAGAAAAAGAUCACGAUAUACUUACGAAUCGACAUACCUCCUGAUUGAUUAGUUGCAUUAGGAACUUCAUCGUUGGCGGCCGCCUCUGUUUCCUAUCCCUCUUUCUCACUCCUCUGCUUCCAAAUGCGUCCAUGCUGGGGCCUUUGGGGGAGAAGAGCCAGAGCUCUGCAUCCAAUUUGUGCCUGCAGCCAUUCAACGGAAAAGCGGAUUUCCUGAGCCACGGACCAAAUUGAUUUUCGUUUUCCGAUCCGCGGCUUAGCUUGCUGCAUUCCACC